Long non-coding RNA from Dermacentor andersoni, 708 nucleotides. RefSeq lists it as uncharacterized. NCBI's taxonomy places the organism in Eukaryota, Metazoa, Arthropoda, Arachnida, Ixodida, Ixodidae. The record is from RefSeq and is a predicted model, not a curated record.
CUAAGGCUUCUCGCGCUGAUCCCGUGGCACGUGAGCGCGCACAGAGGAGAACGACGCUAUCGGCCGCAGCCCGGUGGGGGGCGACCGAGAGGAGGCCAUACGUUGUUCCUGCGAUUGGAACCGGCAUUCCACCCCCCAUCACCUCACCCCCCAAGGGACGUGCCAGCAUUCGCAAGUCACGGCUGAUUCCGGACUUUCAGGAACGAAUUCGAUCGUCGCCUUCCGCAGAAACUUCGCAGCAUCAGUUAACAAGCUACCUCACCUGCACCGGCUGUAGACACUCCUUCCGAUAACCGCAAUGUUUACCCUCAUCAGAUUGGUCCUUGGUUUCAUUGUCGGCUAUGCCGGCACCAUGUUCACACCGUGGCUACUCAACAAGGCUGGCUUCGGGAAGACAGGCGUGAAGCCAGCGACGUUGGCCGCCUAUCUCCAGGCGCGCCACAAGGGUGCCAUCCCGAGGGACGGGUACUUUGCAGCUUUGCAGAAGUGGGGCAUGGCGGGCCCGCCGGCAUUCUACAGCUUCGUGGUCUUCGUCUUCAUGGCACGCACGGGCUACUGCCUUGUGUAGGGAGCUCAGCUGAAGAGGUGGCAUCGUCCGACGGUGCCCCUUUCGUUACCGGAUUGCGGCACCCUACACAGUGUCACCUCGACGCCCUUCAAGCCGUGCAAAUUGAAACUCGGGCAGAAUAAAUCUAAGAGGCAACCUGA